RNAcentral lists this ribosomal RNA (875 nucleotides) under uncultured euryarchaeote. RNAcentral's name for it is "bacterial SSU rRNA". It matches the Rfam family "Archaeal small subunit ribosomal RNA", at positions 460 to 1337 of the family's 1478-position model. Lineage: Archaea; Methanobacteriati; Methanobacteriota. The record is from RNAcentral.
AGCCGCCGCGGUAAUACCAGCGGCCCUAGUGGUGAUCGUUAUUAUUGGGCCUAAAGCGUCCGUAGCCGGCCCGGUAAAUCUCUGGGUAAAUCGAUGGGCUCAACUCAUCGAAUUCUGGGGAGACUGCUGGGCUUGGGACCGGGAGAGGUCGGAGGUACUACAGGGGUAGGGGUGAAAUCCUGUAAUCCCUGUGGGACCACCGGUGGCGAAGGCGUCCGACCAGAACGGGUCCGACGGUAAGGGACGAAGCCCUGGGGCGCAAACCGGAUUAGAUACCCGGGUAGUCCAGGGUGUAAACGCUGCGCGCUUGGUGUUGGGGGUCCUCCGUGGGCAUCCAGUGCCGGAGAGAAGUUGUUAAGCGCGCCGCCUGGGGAGUACGGUCGCAAGACUGAAACUUAAAGGAAUUGGCGGGGGAGCACAGCAACGGGAGGAGCGUGCGGUUUAAUUGGAUUCAACGCCGGAAAACUCACCAGGGGCGACUGCCACAUGAAAGCCAAGCUGAUGACUUUGCUUGAUUGGUAGAGAGGUGGUGCAUGGCCGUCGUCAGUUCGUACCGUAGGGCGUUCUGUUAAGUCAGAUAACGAACGAGACCCUUGCCCAUAAUUACCAUGUUUCCCUCCGGGGGAACGGGACUUUAUGGGGACCGCUGGUGCAAAAUCAGAGGAAGGAAAGGGCAACGGUAGGUCAGUAUGCCCCGAAUCCCCUGGGCAACACGCGCGCUACAAAGGCCGGGACAGAGGGUUCCGACCUCGAAAGAGGUAGGUAAUCCCGAAACCUGUCCGUAGUUCGGAUCGAGGGCUGCAACCCGCCCUCGUGAAGUUGGAUUCCGUAGUAAUCGCGGGUCAACAUCCCGCGGUGAAUAUGCCCCUGCUCCU